Long non-coding RNA from Mya arenaria, 176 nucleotides. RefSeq lists it as uncharacterized. The transcript has 3 exons. NCBI's taxonomy places the organism in Eukaryota, Metazoa, Mollusca, Bivalvia, Myida, Myidae. The record is from RefSeq and is a predicted model, not a curated record.
UACAGAUGACCAAGGAGGAGCCUAAAAGAAGCUGAUUUAUGAAAAUAUUAAAAUUAAGCCUUCACUGCGCUAAGUUGCUUAGAAACAUACAAGUAACUGCCUGCAUAUCAGAAAUAAAUAAAUAGAGAAAGAAGAAACAAAAGGGCCAGAAUGGGGAUGUCAAACGCAGAGCGUCA